GCAAGAGCAGGCAUAGGAGCCGCGGUUGGGAGAGGCACAGCGCAGCGCCUCCCCCAGCCAUGGCUCCUGUGCCUGCCCUUGC
This 82-nucleotide microRNA precursor is filed under the name Podarcis lilfordi (Lilford's wall lizard). The record is from RNAcentral. Lineage: Eukaryota; Metazoa; Chordata; Lepidosauria; Squamata; Lacertidae.